CGCGUAGGCGGCCUGUUAAGUCGAACGUGAAAUCCCCGGGCUCAACCCGGGAACUGCGUCCGAUACUGGCAGGCUUGAAUUCGGGAGAGGGAUGUGGAAUUCCAGGUGUAGCGGUGAAAUGCGUAGAUAUCUGGAGGAACACCGGUGGCGAAGGCGGCAUCCUGGACCGAUAUUGACGCUGAUGCGCGAAAGCCAGGGAGCAAACG
This 206-nucleotide ribosomal RNA is filed under the name uncultured bacterium. RNAcentral's name for it is "partial 16S ribosomal RNA". It matches the Rfam family "Bacterial small subunit ribosomal RNA", at positions 568 to 774 of the family's 1533-position model. The record is from RNAcentral.